UGAGCCUUCUCCAGAGCCCUGCCUUGCUAAGACAUGGAUCUUACCAAAAAAGAAGGGACACGUGAAGAGAGGAGGAGGAGGAGGAGCCAGGAUGCCAUGCUGCCAGUGCUGCCCCUGACCAGCUGCAUCUCCUAACUUUGGGGCUGCUGUUACAUGUCUCUGGAACCAGUCUGGGAGCCAGGACCACUGAGACCUGUGCAGGAGUCCCGAGCCUGCCUUGUACCAGCACCCACAGCUGUCUGAAGCAUGGACACCUGGCAGGUGGCAUCCUCUUCCUAGUCAUGGUGCUUAUGGACUCCCCCAAUGUCUGGUGUGCGAGCAGCUGACCUUGCUCUGAAGACUCUGCUCCUUCCAGCAUCAAAUGGCAUUUAGCUAUUACUGCAAGACCUCAUCUUGUCUGCCUGGAUCCAAACGAGAGAGGACAUGAGCAAUUACCUCUACAAACAAAGUAACCACUAAAAGCCUGAGGAAAAUAGAUGUCAGAGCUGGGAUUAAAGUCCUAAGGAAUGUGGAGUUGCAGGGAAAAGACUUCAUUCAGGGAUGGAACUUGGCAAAGUCCACGCUCAGCAACAGGAGAGAGGAAGAGGGAAAACAGAGAAAGCAUGUUCAGAAAUGAGCCUCAGCUCCAGUGCGAGAAGUGUGGCUGCCUGCUGGCCAUGUCUGCAGGCACCGUGGCACUCCGGGCAGAGCUGAGCUGCUCUGUUUGCUUUUCUGCCUCUCAGUUCUUUGGCACCAUUCUAGCCACAAAACAUUCACCACAGCACUCCUGCCACUCCAAGCACAGUGUGCUGCUCACACUCUUCAGCCUUCUCCUUCUGCCGACCUCCAGGCUUCAUUUUUCAGGUGAAAGCAGGCAAAGUUUGGGUUUGUUUUGUGUGAGGAAAGCAUCCAGCCCAGGAGCAGAGCUGUCCUGAUUGAUAGGUCCUGCAUCCAUCAGCCGGGUCACAGGGACUAUGAGUCAGGGAUCCUUCUGCCCUGUGUCAGCGUUUUCCUUCCCCACCGCUUGAGCCUCUGCAUUGCAGAAACAGGAUGCUGGGGAGCACACUACAGAAAAUUGUGCUAACUCCUUGGUUCCCUCCAUCACCACAGUGUCACAUGAGGAGGCACAAUGUGACAUCUUGAUGUAUUGCUUAUAGCCUUCUAUAAGGUAAA
Long non-coding RNA from Pogoniulus pusillus (Red-fronted tinkerbird), 1152 nucleotides. RefSeq lists it as uncharacterized. The transcript has 3 exons. Lineage: Eukaryota; Metazoa; Chordata; Aves; Piciformes; Lybiidae. The record is from RefSeq and is a predicted model, not a curated record.